Molecule: transfer RNA, 72 nt
Filed under: Camelus bactrianus (Bactrian camel)
Lineage: Eukaryota; Metazoa; Chordata; Mammalia; Artiodactyla; Camelidae
Also listed under: 2 other names
Rfam family: tRNA
About the family: Transfer RNA (tRNA) molecules are approximately 80 nucleotides in length. Their secondary structure includes four short double-helical elements and three loops (D, anti-codon, and T loops).
Source: Rfam by way of RNAcentral
GGGGUUGUAGCUCAGUGGUAGACUACGUGCUUAGCAUGCACAAAGUCCUGGGUUCAAUCCCCAGUGCCUUCA